RNAcentral lists this ribosomal RNA (116 nucleotides) under Thermovirga lienii. The record is from RNAcentral. RNAcentral also lists the same sequence under 1 other name. Lineage: Bacteria; Thermotogati; Synergistota; Synergistia; Synergistales; Thermovirgaceae.
UCUGGUGGUCAUAGCGGAGGGGAAACACCCGGAUCCAUGCCGAACCCGGCAGUUAAGCCCUCCAGCGCCGAUGGUACUGCGAUGGGUAAUCGUGGGAGAGUAGGUCGCCGCCAGAA